GGCGCACGGUGGAUGCCUUGACACUAGGAGUCGAUGAAGGACGGGACUAACGCCGAUAUGCUUCGGGGAGCUGUAAGUAAGCUUUGAUCCGAAGAUUUCCGAAUGGGGAAACCCACCAUACGUAAUGGUAUGGUAUCCUUAUCUGAAUACAUAGGGUAAGGAAGACAGACCCAGGGAACUGAAACAUCUAAGUACCUGGAGGAAGAGAAAGCAAAUGCGAUUUCCUGAGUAGCGGCGAGCGAAACGGAACAUAGCCCAAACCAAGAGGCUUGCCUCUUGGGGUUGUAGGACAUUCUAUACGGAGUUACAAAGGAACGAGGUAGACGAAGCGACCUGGAAAGGUCCGUCGUAGAGGGUAACAACCCCGUAGUCGAAACUUCGUUCUCUCUUGAAUGUAUCCUGAGUACGGCGGAACACGUGAAAUUCCGUCGGAAUCUGGGAGGACCAUCUCCCAAGGCUAAAUACUCCCUAGUGAUCGAUAGUGAACCAGUACCGUGAGGGAAAGGUGAAAAGCACCCCGGAAGGGGAGUGAAAGAGAUCCUGAAACCGUGUGCCUACAAAUAGUCAGAGCCCGUUAACGGGUGAUGGCGUGCCUUUUGUAGAAUGAACCGGCGAGUUACGAUCCCGUGCGAGGUUAAGCUGAAGAGGCGGAGCCGCAGCGAAAGCGAGUCUGAAUAGGGCGUUUAGUACGUGGUCGUAGACCCGAAACCAGGUGAUCUACCCAUGUCCAGGGUGAAGUUCAGGUAACACUGAAUGGAGGCCCGAACCCACGCACGUUGAAAAGUGCGGGGAUGAGGUGUGGGUAGCGGAGAAAUUCCAAUCGAACCUGGAGAUAGCUGGUUCUCCCCGAAAUAGCUUUAGGGCUAGCCUUAAGUGUAAGAGUCUUGGAGGUAGAGCACUGAUUGGACUAGGGGUCCUCAUCGGAUUACCGAAUUCAGUCAAACUCCGAAUGCCAAUGACUUAUCCUUAGGAGUCAGACUGCGAGUGAUAAGAUCCGUAGUCAAAAGGGAAACAGCCCAGACCGCCAGCUAAGGUCCCAAAGUGUGUAUUAAGUGGAAAAGGAUGUGGAGUUGCUUAGACAACUAGGAUGUUGGCUUAGAAGCAGCCACCAUUUAAAGAGUGCGUAAUAGCUCACUAGUCGAGUGACUCUGCGCCGAAAAUGUACCGGGGCUAAAUACACCACCGAAGCUGCGGAUUGAUACCAAUGGUAUCAGUGGUAGGGGAGCGUUCUAAGGACAGUGAAGUCAGACCGGAAGGACUGGUGGAGUGCUUAGAAGUGAGAAUGCCGGUAUGAGUAGCGAAAGACGGGUGAGAAUCCCGUCCACCGAAUGCCUAAGGUUUCCUGAGGAAGGCUCGUCCGCUCAGGGUUAGUCAGGACCUAAGCCGAGGCCGACAGGCGUAGGCGAUGGACAACAGGUUGAUAUUCCUGUACCACCUCUUUAUCGUUUGAGCAAUGGAGGGACGCAGAAGGAUAGAAGAAGCGUGCGAUUGGUUGUGCACGUCCAAGCAGUUAGGCUGAUAAGUAGGCAAAUCCGCUUAUCGUAAAGGCUGAGCUGUGAUGGGGAAGCUCCUUAUGGAGCGAAGUCUUUGAUUCCCCGCUGCCAAGAAAAGCUUCUAGCGAGAUAAAAGGUGCCUGUACCGCAAACCGACACAGGUAGGCGAGGAGAGAAUCCUAAGGUGUGCGAGAGAACUCUGGUUAAGGAACUCGGCAAAAUGACCCCGUAACUUCGGGAGAAGGGGUGCUUUCUUAACGGAAAGCCGCAGUGAAUAGGCCCAAGCGACUGUUUAGCAAAAACACAGCUCUCUGCGAAGCCGUAAGGCGAAGUAUAGGGGGUGACACCUGCCCGGUGCUGGAAGGUUAAGGAGAGGGGUUAGCGUAAGCGAAGCUCUGAACUGAAGCCCCAGUAAACGGCGGCCGUAACUAUAACGGUCCUAAGGUAGCGAAAUUCCUUGUCGGGUAAGUUCCGACCCGCACGAAAGGUGUAACGAUUUGGGCACUGUCUCAACCAGAGACUCGGUGAAAUUAUAGUACCUGUGAAGAUGCAGGUUACCCGCGACAGGACGGAAAGACCCCGUGGAGCUUUACUGUAGCCUGAUAUUGAAUUUUGGUACAGUUUGUACAGGAUAGGCGGGAGCCUUUGAAACCGGAGCGCUAGCUUCGGUGGAGGCGCUGGUGGGAUACCGCCCUGACUGUAUUGAAAUUCUAACCUACGGGUCUUAUCGACCCGGGAGACAGUGUCAGGUGGGCAGUUUGACUGGGGCGGUCGCCUCCUAAAGUGUAACGGAGGCGCCCAAAGGUUCCCUCAGAAUGGUUGGAAAUCAUUCGUAGAGUGCAAAGGCAUAAGGGAGCUUGACUGCGAGACCUACAAGUCGAGCAGGGACGAAAGUCGGGCUUAGUGAUCCGGUGGUUCCGCAUGGAAGGGCCAUCGCUCAACGGAUAAAAGCUACCCCGGGGAUAACAGGCUUAUCUCCCCCAAGAGUCCACAUCGACGGGGAGGUUUGGCACCUCGAUGUCGGCUCAUCGCAUCCUGGGGCUGUAGUCGGUCCCAAGGGUUGGGCUGUUCGCCCAUUAAAGCGGUACGCGAGCUGGGUUCAGAACGUCGUGAGACAGUUCGGUCCCUAUCCGUCGUGGGCGUAGGAAAUUUGAGAGGAGCUGUCCUUAGUACGAGAGGACCGGGAUGGACGCACCGCUGGUGUACCAGUUGUUCUGCCAAGGGCAUAGCUGGGUAGCUAUGUGCGGAAGGGAUAAGUGCUGAAAGCAUCUAAGCAUGAAGCCCCCCUCAAGAUGAGAUUUCCCAUAGCGUAAGCUAGUAAGAUCCCUGAAAGAUGAUCAGGUUGAUAGGUUCGAGGUGGAAGCAUGGUGACAUGUGGAGCUGACGAAUACUAAUAGAUCGAGGACUUAACCAU
Molecule: ribosomal RNA, 2907 nt
Filed under: Bacillus cereus 03BB108
Lineage: Bacteria; Bacillati; Bacillota; Bacilli; Caryophanales; Bacillaceae
Description: bacterial LSU rRNA
Rfam family: Bacterial large subunit ribosomal RNA
Source: RNAcentral